GACAGAGGGUGCAAACGUUGCUCGGAAUUACUGGGCGUAAAGCGCGUGUAGGCGGACUGGUGUGUCGGAUGUGAAAUCCCCAGGCUCAACCUGGGAACUGCAUUCGAAACUGCCAGCCUUGAGUGGUGGAGAGGGAAGUGGAAUUCCUGGUGUAGAGGUGAAAUUCGUAGAUAUCAGGAGGAACACCAGUGGCGAAGGCGGCUUCCUGGACACCAACUGACGCUGAGACGCGAAAAGCGUGGGGAGCAAAAGGG
RNAcentral lists this ribosomal RNA (254 nucleotides) under uncultured bacterium. Its description in RNAcentral is "partial 16S ribosomal RNA". It matches the Rfam family "Bacterial small subunit ribosomal RNA", at positions 524 to 776 of the family's 1533-position model. The record is from RNAcentral.